UCGUUGUAGCCUUACGAUGGAAAGUUUAGUGGCGAACGGGGGCUUAACACGUGGGCAACCUGCCAGGAAGUGGGGGAUAGCUCGCCGAAAGGCGAAUUAAUACCGCAUGUGAUUAGAGAGGACAUCCUUUCAAAAUUAAAGUCGGGGCAACCUGACGCUUCUUGUGGGGCCCGCGGCCUAUCAGCUAGUUGGUGAGGUAACGGCCCACCAAGGCUUUGACGGGUAGCUGGUCUGAGAGGACGACCAGCCACACUGGGACUGAAACACGGCCCAGACACCUACGGGUGGCAGCAGUCGAGAAUUUUUGACAAUGGGGGAAACCCUGAUCGAGCGACGCCGCGUGGAGGAUGAAGGUCUUCGGAUUGUAAACUCCUGUCAUUGGGGAACAAUGCACAGAUAUUAACUGUAUUUGUGUUGAUAGUACCAGAAGAGGAAGAGACGGCUAACUCUGUGCCAGCAGCCGCGGUAAUACAGAGGUCUCAAGCGUUGUUCGGAUUCAUUGGCCGUCAUUUUCGACCAGGUGGCGCCGUAAGUGGGGUGUGAAAUUUCGGAGCUUAACUCCGAAACUGCAUUCCAUACUGCGGUGCUUGAGGACUGGAGAGGAGACUGGAAUUCACGGUGUAGCA
RNAcentral lists this ribosomal RNA (626 nucleotides) under uncultured Verrucomicrobiota bacterium. RNAcentral describes it as "bacterial SSU rRNA". It matches the Rfam family "Bacterial small subunit ribosomal RNA", at positions 71 to 680 of the family's 1533-position model. The record is from RNAcentral. Lineage: Bacteria; Pseudomonadati; Verrucomicrobiota.